This 495-nucleotide ribosomal RNA is filed under the name uncultured bacterium. RNAcentral describes it as "partial 16S ribosomal RNA". It matches the Rfam family "Bacterial small subunit ribosomal RNA", at positions 28 to 507 of the family's 1533-position model. The record is from RNAcentral.
GACGAACGCUGGCGGCGUGCCUAAUACAUGCAAGUCGAACGCUGAAGGAGGAGCUUGCUUCCCUGGAUGAGUUGCGAACGGGUGAGUAACGCGUAGGUAACCUGCCUGGUAGCGGGGGAUAACUCUUGGAAACGAUAGCUAAUACCGCAUAAUAUUGACUAUUGCAUGAUAGUCAGUUGAAAGGUGCAACUGCACCACUACCAGAUGGACCUGCGUUGUCUUAGUUAGUUGGUGGGGUAAUGGCUCACCAAGGCGACGACACUUAGCCGACCUGGGAGGGGUAUCCGCCCCACUGGGAAUGGGACACGGCCCAGAAUCCUACGGGAGGCAGCAGGAGGGAAUCUUCGGCAAAGGACGGAAGGCUGACCGAGGAACGCCGGGGUGGGGAAGGAGGUUCUCGGGUCGUAAAGAUCGGUUGUAAGGGAAGAACGAGUGUGGGAGUGGAAAGCUCACACUGUGACGGUACCUAAUCAGAAAGGGACGGCUAACUACGUG